CAUGUGCCAUCGUCUUACUUUGGCAAGGGAUCUGCUUGACGGAAUAACCGUUCAGCAUGCAGGUGGCUCUAGAGGGGAUUACGUCAUAAACAUGCUGAUCAGGUACAUGGCCGAGUCGUCCGCAACGCGGUUCUUGAAUCUGCCUCCUUGAGCUGAUUCGGGAGAUUAGAUAUUGUGUCGGGAAGGACGAGGAGCAGGAGCAUUGGUUCAGAUUUUCUCUAUUGUCCUUGUGUUUGUUUACUGAUUAUUGGCUUGACAUGAAGAUUGAUCAGUAUGUUUUCCAAGCUACAUGGCCUGUUGCAACGCUCUUCGGAGUCAAACCCUUGGGUGGUGGCGACGGUGAUUACGACGACGGGUUGUGGGCCUACCAGAGGGUGCGGCAGGCGGCAGUGCAAGGCGACUCAUAGCGGGGCGUGGGGCCGAUGUUCGCAGCAGUGGCGGGAGUGAGCAUGGUGUAGGCAGCUGCCAGAUGUCGUGCGGGCGGUAGCCAGCGUGGACACGCAGAUGUUCAUCCGGGA
Molecule: long non-coding RNA, 518 nt
Organism: Triticum aestivum (bread wheat)
Lineage: Eukaryota; Viridiplantae; Streptophyta; Magnoliopsida; Poales; Poaceae
Exons: 4
Source: RefSeq, a predicted model, not a curated record